This 1039-nucleotide ribosomal RNA is filed under the name marine metagenome. RNAcentral describes it as "bacterial LSU rRNA". It matches the Rfam family "Bacterial large subunit ribosomal RNA", at positions 1197 to 2301 of the family's 2925-position model. The record is from RNAcentral.
AAGCUUAGGAUGUAAUUUAUUACAUGGUAGCAGAGCGUAGUGUGACAUAGUUCCACGUCUCCUUACUCACUUCGGUGAUAUUGGAGACAUGGAGCUUUCUGUGAAGCCGGCGCGUGAGCGAUCCGGUGGAGAGAUCACUAGUGAGAAUGAUGACAUGAGUAGCGACAAAGAGUGUGAGAGACACUCUCGCCGAAAGUCCAAGGGUUCCUGCUUAAAGCUAAUCUGAGCAGGGUAAGCCGACCCCUAAGGCGAGGCCGAAAGGCGUAGUCGAUGGGAACCAGGUUAAUAUUCCUGGGCCAGAUGGAAGUGACGGAUCUCGAGGGUAGUUCAUCCUUAUCGGAUUGAAUGGGCUGCUUAGAGGUUCCUGGAAAUAGCUCCAUCAUUAGAUCGUACCCUAAACCGACACAGGUGGACUGGUAGAGAAUACCAAGGCGCUUGAGAGAACUAUGUUGAAGGAACUCGGCAAAAUACCUCCGUAAGUUCGCGAGAAGGAGGCCCGGUUUCUACGCAAGUGGAAGCUGGGGGCACAAACCAGGGGGUGGCGACUGUUUAUUAAAAACACAGGGCUCUGCGAAGUCGUAAGACGACGUAUAGGGUCUGACGCCUGCCCGGUGCCUGAAGGUUAAAAGGAGGGGUGAGAGCUCUGAAUUGAAGCCCAGGUAAACGGCGGCCGUAACUAUAACGGUCCUAAGGUAGCGAAAUUCCUUGUCGGGUAAGUUCCGACCUGCACGAAUGGCGUAACGACUUCCCCGCUGUCUCCAACAUAGACUCAGCGAAAUUGAAUUACCUGUCAAGAUGCAGGUUUCCCGCGGUUAGACGGAAAGACCCCGUGCACCUUUACUACAACUUCACACUGGCAUUAGGCCGAAUAUGUGCAGGAUAGGUGGUGGGCUUUGAAGCAGAGACGCUAGUCUUUGUGGAGCCUCCCUUGAGAUACCACCCUUAUUCUGCUUGAUGUCUAACCGCGGUCCGUUAUCCCGGAUCCGGGACCCUGUGUGGUGGGUAGUUUGACUGGGGCGGUCGCCUCCUAAAGCGUAAC